RNAcentral lists this ribosomal RNA (459 nucleotides) under uncultured bacterium. Its description in RNAcentral is "partial 16S ribosomal RNA". It matches the Rfam family "Bacterial small subunit ribosomal RNA", at positions 338 to 795 of the family's 1533-position model. The record is from RNAcentral.
CCUACGGGUGGCAGCAGUGAGGAAUAUUGGUCAAUGGGCGCGAGCCUGAACCAGCCAAGUCGCGUGAAGGAUGACGGCCCUACGGGUUGUAAACUUCUUUUAUAAAGGAAUAAAGUGAGGCACGUGUGCCUUUCUGAAUGUACUUUAAGAAUAAGGAUCGGCUAACUCCGUGCCAGCAGCCGCGGUAAUACGGAGGAUCCGAGCGUUAUCCGGAUUUAUUGGGUUUAAAGGGUGCGUAGGCGGGCUGUUAAGUCAGCGGUAAAAUCGAGGGGCUAAACCCCUUCCCGCCGUUGAAACUGGCGGUCUUGAGUAGAAGAGAGGUAUGCGGAAUGCGUAGUGUAGCGGUGAAAUGCGUAGAUAGCACGCAGAACCCCGAUUGCGAAGGCAGCAUACCGGCUUCCAACUGACGCUGAGGCACGAAAGCGUGGGGAUCGAACAGGAUUAGAUACCCGAGUAGUC